AUGAACGCUAGCUACAGGCUUAACACAUGCAAGUCGAGGGGCAUCAGUUUGGUUUGCUUGCAAACCAAAGCUGGCGACCGGCGCACGGGUGAGUAACACGUAUCCAACCUGCCUCAUACUCGGGGAUAGCCUUUCGAAAGAAAGAUUAAUAUCCGAUAGCAUAUAUUUCCCGCAUGGGUUUUAUAUUAAAGAAAUUCGGUAUGAGAUGGGGAUGCGUUCCAUUAGUUUGUUGGCGGGGUAACGGCCCACCAAGACUACGAUGGAUAGGGGUUCUGAGAGGAAGGUCCCCCACAUUGGAACUGAGACACGGUCCAAACUCCUACGGGAGGCAGCAGUGAGGAAUAUUGGUCAAUGGACGCGAGUCUGAACCAGCCAAGUAGCGUGAAGGAUGACUGCCCUAUGGGUUGUAAACUUCUUUUAUAUGGGAAUAAAGUGGUCCACGUGUGGAUUUUUGUAUGUACCAUAUGAAUAAGGAUCGGCUAACUCCGUGCCAGCAGCCGCGGUAAUACGGAGGAUCCGAGCGUUAUCCGGAUUUAUUGGGUUUAAAGGGAGCGUAGGCGGAUUGUUAAGUCAGUUGUGAAAGUUUGCGGCUCAACCGUAAAAUUGCAGUUGAUACUGGCAGUCUUGAGUGCAGUAGAGGUGGGCGGAAUUCGUGGUGUAGCGGUGAAAUGCUUAGAUAUCACGAAGAACUCCGAUUGCGAAGGCAGCUCACUGGAGUGUAACUGACGCUGAUG
Molecule: ribosomal RNA, 734 nt
Filed under: uncultured Bacteroidales bacterium
Lineage: Bacteria; Pseudomonadati; Bacteroidota; Bacteroidia; Bacteroidales
Description: bacterial SSU rRNA
Rfam family: Bacterial small subunit ribosomal RNA
Source: RNAcentral